AAUGCCUAUAAUACCCCUAAAUUCUUCUUCAAAAAAAUUCAAUUUCUCGUAAGAACAGUGCACUGAUAGAAUUACCCUUAUAAUGACUCACCUCCUUUAUCCCAGCUUGCCUGCAGCCCUGCACAAUCAAUUCACAACUUCACGAUCCAUCAUAAUUCUCACCUCCUCCCAGUUUUCUCUCUCCUAAUUCGUCAUCCAAUUCCUAAACCCUAAGUUUUUCCUCCCCAAUUGACCGCAGAUUCACUUCCAAUCUCAACAAAUUGAUCAUCAACUUCGUGCUAUUUGUCCCUUAAUUCACAAUAUAAUUUGUCAAUGCAAUGGUGGUAUGCAAAUGCCGCAAGUUAAGUCAUCUUUUUUGCUCCUUUUUCUAUUCAGAUUCGUCAAAAAUCCCCAAUUUUGUAACUUUUUAUUUGAUCGCAUGCUUAAUUUAGCUCUUAAUUAUAAGGAUAAGCUGUACAGUUUGAUGAUCUUGUUGUUUCGGAUCUGAUUUAGGGAUAAUUGAAUUAAUACGCAUAUUGGGUUUAGUUUUUGUCAAAUUUUGUUAAUUUAAGGGUUUUAGACAAAAAAUAGUACUUUGUUAGGGGUUAAUAUCGAUUUUGUAGAUGUAUACUGGGACGAAUUAUCGUGGGUUAUCAAUGUUGUGAAUUUUCAGGAAUUUGACAUGUUUUACCUCGAUCAUAAUGUGCGAAGGAUUGAUUAGUAUGUGGCUUGCAUUCAAAAUUGGAUUUGGGGAGUGAUUGAACAAUGUUAGUUUGUAUCGUCCAAUCUAAAGCUAAUCUUCGACUUUACCCUGUCUUGAUAGUGCAGUUGUUGUUUCUAGGAUAUGAUAUAUAUCAGGCUAUCAUCUUGCUUUAUUGAGUUGUUAAUUUUAUGUUUGUGACAAAUGGUAAUUCUUGCUGAGGUUUUUUUAUGGGUUUUCAGGCAACUAAGUUGUAUUGUUUCGUGCACAAGACUCCUGUUUGUGGAGAACUAGAGAAUGCAUAUGCUUCCCUGAACACCGAAUUUUUGUGGUUAUGAACACUUCAAUGUCAUGGGGAAAAACCAUAAUUGCCAAAAGCCAAAUUAAUUGCACAUAAUCAAUUAGCAUAAUUAAGUAUACAUACUUUGUGAUGCGUGCCUUCCUUAGCUGCUCCGAACCGAACAAGAACAGGUUAGAACGCCAAACAUCGUCCCUACGUAGAUAGCCCACAGCACGUUCGGAUCCACCUUAGGUUCAACCAACUAGGAUUUGAUCUAAGGUAUUAUUAAUUCGGGAUCUCACUUUUAAUGUGAUAGGAAAAGUAUGAAAAACUUGUAUGUAUGAUCAUAGACCACAUAUAUAUAGGAAAUUGGACAUAUACAUGUGGAAGACUUUUCAUCUGCAUCUUAGAACAUAGAAAUUAAUAUUUAAUUUCCAUGUUGUUAUUUCAAAAUACGAUGCAUAUAGUCCGUUCUUGCAAAUGGUUAACUCCAAAGGGAUCUUGCUUGAUCCUUUGCCAGUGUUUAUGCGUGUAACAUCAAUAUUUAGCAUAUCUUUAUUUCCUUGAAUCAAGAACUAUUCCUAUUUACCUUUUCGAGUACCAUAGGGUUUUCUUAAUCUCAACUAGUUGAUCUUAACUUAGAUCAAUAGAGAUUGGUAUAUGUUCGUCAUGCCUAGAGCCAUACGAUACAUUUUUGGCGAUCCUCAUAUUAUAUCAUACAUGAUAAAUUCUUCUGCAGAAUAAUUCUCAAUUGAAUUCUUAUUCAUGUAACUUUAGCUCAUCCAAUUUCAGUAUAUACCGAAUCCAACUAAAUUCUUUGACAUAUAAUAUAGGUGAAGAAUCUCAUUUAGAUCCUUUGAUGUUUAACUUAGUAAAUGCUUAUACAUAGUUCAAACCAUCAUUACUAAGAUUUAUUCACAUGGGUAUAAUAUCUUCAAUGGAGUCUUUCAUGUUUGAUUUAGUAAAUGCCGGCCAUUACUUAAUCCAAAACAAUAUUCUAAGAUCUUUGUAAAUACAUAUUAAUACCCAGUAUGUACUAAGUUUCGCCUUGGUCCAUCAAAAUAAUUUCAAAACUAAGUCAUUAGCAUUUGAAUGUUAUUUUACAAUAGAGAGAUAUGUGUGAUACACAUAUUACCAAUUUAGGUUUACAUACUGCCACUAAACUUCUUAUAUAUCCGUAAGAAUCAUAUGUAUUUUAUGAAACUAAAAUAUUUAUUAGCUUCACUAAAAUACAAUUUUAAUUCCCAAUUGCUUGCUUAAAUCCAUACUUAGAUUUUAUAAGCUAGAAUUCAUUUCAAGCAUUAUUUGGAUCCACAAAUCCUAUGACAUGUCAUGUACAUAGUUUCUUUCAACAUUUGAUUGAGGAAUACGUUUUGUCAUCCAAUUGCCAUAUGUACCAAUAUGAAUUCAUUGCUUGAUUUAUAGACUUAAGCAUUUUGAUUAUGCAUGAGGUUCCAACACAAUCCACGAUGUGAAUUUGAUUUUAACCCUUAGUAAAUAAUCUAGCUUUGUGUGACAACACAAUUCCAUGUUUUGAUGAGUUUUAUCCUUAAAACCAAUUUGUAACCAAUAGGUGUAAACCAAUCUUGCAAAUCAACAAAAUUUUAAUUUUGUCAUAAAAAAAAAUGAGUCUAUAUAUGGCCUCUAACCAUUUAGGGAAUCCGAGCUUUGUCAUAUCUUUCUUACAAGUCAUAAACUCAUUAAUCUUCAUGAUAAUAGUUGACUGCAAGUUGUAGGUUUAGAAUAGAAGAAUCUCAUAGCUUCAGUUACUUGAACUCUAUGCCUACAUGGGUAUACAACAUCAAACAAUAGAAUAUUAAUAGACACUUUGAAAGUCAUUUGAAUAUUUUAUUCUCCUUGAAGCACUUGUAAAGUUUUCUAAGAGAUAUAUUCUUUAAAUCCAUUUCUAAAAUCCUUUAGAGAAUAAGUAAGCACAAAGAUUCUUCGAGUAAGAACAUUUGCGAAUCUUGUUUAAUAAUCUUGAGUUAAUUAAUCACCUAUUGCAUAUGAUUAACAAUUUCAAGAUUUAAAUUCAUUAAUUAUGCUACCUAAUUUGUAAUUAUAAUUAAUUUGUUGAAAUUCAACUAAUUCGGAAUUUGUUUUGUUUUUCAUAAUUAAUUAGUAAUUUAAUUGGGAUCUUAUGACUAAAAGACCACCUAAAAUUUAUUGAAGUUCGAAUCUUCAAAAUUUAAUGAAACCUAAUUUUAAUCCCUAAAGUUUAUGAAAUCGAAAAUUAUUUUAAUUAAUGAAUUUUUGAUUAAUCGCCUAAAAUUUUAUGAAAUUAAUACUCCCUCCGUCCCAGAUUAGUUGUUACACUUUCCUUUUUCGUCCGUCACAGAUUAGUUGUUACACUUCUAAAUUAGGAAUGACCUCACAAUUUUAUAUUGUCUCUCUCUUCCCACUAAAUUUUUUUUGCCCCCACGCCCUCUUUCAUUCAAUUUAAAAAAUACCCCACCAACUCCUAUCACAUCUAGUUUUUCAAUAAAAUAACAAUUGAUAACCAAACAACCACUUAUCACCUAAAACUUUGUGCAAAGGUAAGUGUAACAACUAAUUUGGGACGGAGGGAGUAUGAUUUAUUAAUUUGUCAUAAAUUUUGAAAAUGAAUGAAAUUUUGAUUUUAUAAAUGUUCACAAACUUGCACGCACAAAGCAACCGAAAGCCGAGUGUUAUCCUUAAAGGGUGUUGCAAUGGUGCGGGCAUGCGACGACGAGCAAGGGAACUCGUCGCUCAUGCGGUUCCAUAGCGAUGAGCAAGCACGGGCACGCGCACAUGUGCUACGGCCUGUGCAUGUGUGUGCUGUGUGCGAGUGAACGAGCAAGGGCGAGGAAAGAGGCCAGGCAAGAACGCUAGGCGCCACACUCGUGUCCGCGCUGCCUUGCGUGCCUGUUGCCUGUGCGCGCAGCAACAAGGUGGGCGCUGGCCUCGGCUAGGCGCACUGCCUGUGCAUACAAGCACAUGGGUGCUGCACAAGUGCACGCGGCCCUUAGCUGCAUGCAUGAGGCCUAGGCGGGGAAUGAGCUUCGUGCUCAUUGCCUUGCCUUGGCCCAAUGAUCGUUACAAUUUUAUUUUUCGUUGAGCGACGAAUUUAAUUAAUUUUAAUUUCGUGCUUAUAAUUUUUCUCGGAAUUUAAUUUUAUUAGUUUAACUACUAUAAUUAAUUUUAUAAUAAUAAUUUAAUAAAAUUAAAACCUUGAAUAAAUUAUGAUUAAUUCAUUUUAAUCAACUAAAAAAAGUCGUCUAAGGGAUUUGAAAUAAUUGUAUGAGCUUUAAGUUUUAAAUAAAUAUGUUGUUUCCGAUUGGACUUGGAAAGACAUUUUAUGUUUAAAAUUAGUAAAACAUAUAAAUCUUGGUUUAAGUGAAAGCUUUUAUUUAUUCAUGUUGGUUAAACUCUUGAUUAGGUCCUUAUUACCUUAGGAUUAAUAAACUCGAUUAGAACUAAUAAGGUCAAAUAAUUGGUAGAUUCUUGAGCCUUAAUUAGUUAUUGCAAUUAUUAUGUGAUGCAUAUUUUCUGCUAACUUGCUAAGUGGGCCAUUCAAUGAUAAAUGAAUGAGUGAAUGGUAUAUUGUAAAUAUAUUGUUUUGCAGGUUGCGGAAAGUGAUUAGUAUGGCCCAAAUAGGAUAGAAAAUAUGGUCUGCGUACCAUUAAAUUUGAAUGUAAAAUAUGGUCAAAUGUACAAUGGUUUUUAUUUAAAUAUGGUUUCCGUACCAUUAAUUUAUAGUAAAUCCUAUUUGGUGAAAAUGACGCCUCCCAUGGUGAAAUUCAAGAACGGAGUUUCCAAUCCAUUUUCAAGACGGAAUUUGAAGAUUGAAGCUUCAAGAUGAAGUCAGGCCAUACUAGAUCACAAAUUUUAUCUUAUGCAUGCUUUAAGAAAUUUAUUGCUUUAAAUAUAUCUUGAUUUUAUGCA
This is an RNA transcript of Spinacia oleracea (spinach), 4865 nucleotides long. It is a transcript of the gene named F-box protein CPR1-like, with no coding region annotated. Lineage: Eukaryota; Viridiplantae; Streptophyta; Magnoliopsida; Caryophyllales; Amaranthaceae. The record is from RefSeq and is a predicted model, not a curated record. The transcript is spliced from 2 exons.